This is a long non-coding RNA of Pyrus x bretschneideri (Chinese white pear), 244 nucleotides long. RefSeq lists it as uncharacterized. The transcript is spliced from 2 exons. The record is from RefSeq and is a predicted model, not a curated record. Lineage: Eukaryota; Viridiplantae; Streptophyta; Magnoliopsida; Rosales; Rosaceae.
UCGCAUUCGGUCGUCCCCUUUCAAGUCUCACUUUGUGUCCUUUUCAGCUCUUCGUUUAUUCACUCAACACCGAAUCAGUGUUUUGUUUGUAUAGAGGAGACGGUAACUUGGCUGGUGCAUCGUCUGUUUUCAGUCGAGGGUGAGGUUUAGUUUGUUACGUGGGAGCAUCUUUAUCUGUUCAUUUGUCAUGUUUUAAUUGGAUUAAAUUUUAGGUUGUCCAAAUUAUAAGCUAUGUUGUAUUCUC